RNAcentral lists this long non-coding RNA (1100 nucleotides) under Marmota monax (woodchuck). Lineage: Eukaryota; Metazoa; Chordata; Mammalia; Rodentia; Sciuridae. The record is from RNAcentral.
CUUGGACUGGGGCUCAGCGGCAGAGUGCUUGCCUUAGUUAUACAUAUUGUCCAUGUAUAACUAAAAAAUAUUUUUUUAAAAUUUUAACACCAAAAAAAACAAAUAACCCAAUCAAUAAAUGGGCCAAGGAAGUGGAUAGACACUUCUCAGAAGAUGAUAUACAAUCAAUCAACAAAUAUAUGAAAAAAUGUUCAACAUCUCUAGCAAUUAGAGCAAUGCAAAUUAAAACUACUCACUCCAGUCAGAAUGGCAGCUAUUAAGAAUACAAACAACAGUAAGUGUUGGUAAGGAUGUGGGGGAAAGGGCACACUUUUACAUUGCUGGUGGGACUGCAAAUUAGUGCAACCAGUCUAAAAAACAUUAUAAAGAUUCCUUGGAAAACUGGGAAUGGAACCACCAUUUGACCCAGCUAUCCCACUCCUAGAUUAUACCUAAAGGACUUAAAGAUAGCACAUUACAAGGACACAGCCACAUCAAUGUUCAUAGCAGCACAAUUCACAACAGCUAAAUUGUGGAUCCAACCUAGAUGCCCUUCAGUAGAUGAAUGGAUAGGGAAAAUGUUGUAAAUAUACACAAUGGAAUAUUACUCAGCCUUAAAAGAGAAUAAAAUCAUGGCAUUUGCAGGUAAAAGGAUGGAGUUGGAGAAUAUAAUGCUAAGUGAAGUAAGCCAAUCCAAAAAAAACAUACGCCAAAAUGUCUUCUCUGAUAUAAGGAUGCUAAUUCAUAAUGGGAUGGCUCGGGGGUGGGGAGCAUGGAAGGAAUAGAUGAACUUUAGAUAGGGCAAAGGAGAGGGAGAAGAAUGGAAGUGGCAUGGGGAUAGAAAAGAUGGUAGAAUGAGACGGACAUCAUUACCCCCUAAGUACAUGAAUGAAAACACGAAUGGUGUGAUUCUACUUUCUGUACAAUCAGAGACAUGAAAAAUUGUGCUCUUUUUGUGUAACAUGAAUUGCAUUCUGCUGUCAUAUAUAACAAAUUAAAUUUUUUUAAAAAUUGCACCAUGACAGAGCUGGGAGCACUGAGCACUAUCUUUGGUACUACUCAUUUUACUUGGCCUGUUUUGUCACCUAUGAGACAAAGGGAUUAGACUUUGUAAGAUGAAC